UACGAAGGGGGCUAGCGUUGCUCGGAAUCACUGGGCGUAAAGCGCACGUAGGCGGAUUGUUAAGUCAGGGGUGAAAUCCUGGAGCUCAACUCCAGAACUGCCUUUGAUACUGGCGAUCUUGAGUCCGGGAGAGGUGAGUGGAACUGCGAGUGUAGAGGUGAAAUUCGUAGAUAUUCGCAAGAACACCAGUGGCGAAGGUGGCUCACUGGCCCGGUACUGACGCUGAGGUGCGAAAGCGUGGGGAGCAAACAGG
This 253-nucleotide ribosomal RNA is filed under the name uncultured bacterium. RNAcentral describes it as "partial 16S ribosomal RNA". It matches the Rfam family "Bacterial small subunit ribosomal RNA", at positions 524 to 776 of the family's 1533-position model. The record is from RNAcentral.